RNAcentral lists this long non-coding RNA (585 nucleotides) under Fukomys damarensis (Damara mole-rat). RNAcentral's name for it is "lncRNA (ENSFDAG00000021737.1)". Lineage: Eukaryota; Metazoa; Chordata; Mammalia; Rodentia; Bathyergidae. The record is from RNAcentral.
GGCGGGCGUGUGGCCCGGCUCUGUAGAGCUGGGUUGCAGGGAACAGUAUUUUCACAACCUUGGCCUUGAACUGGUCCUUUUUGGAUGCCCUGUGUGUGUGCAGGUGCUGUGCUGCCUCCUGCUGCCCUUCUGAACCGAGAUAAUCCAGUGACAACUUUUGGCCUUGGCUCGUCCCUGUUACUUAGAAACAUGGUCAGAGGGGACCUUGGCCCAGCUGCAGGCUUCUACCCUCCAGGAAGGACAUCGCUCCCCACAACCGAUGACUUUGAAGUGGUACCGAGGCUUUGGCUACAGCAAGAGUUCAUUUGUGCCAGAGUGGCUGCAUCGGCCCGAGGAUAAUCCAAUCCAGGAAGAUGUCUGUCACCGGCUCUGCUCUCCUGCCAGGGCUGCCAGCCUGUGGGUUCCACUGUGGGGCCAGAGUGACAACAAGAGGACCCUUGAAGAGAUCGGCGCCAAGGGCAGUGGAGGCUGCUGUGUGGUCCCCUGGGAGGACUGGGCACCUCCUCCCUGCUGGGAACCUUCUCUGACCUGUGUCAGGGCAGAGAUUCAGGCUUGUAUUUUAAAUAAUACAAUUAAAAAUUCCAC